This is a non-coding RNA of Prunus avium (sweet cherry), 1692 nucleotides long. The record is from RefSeq and is a predicted model, not a curated record. Lineage: Eukaryota; Viridiplantae; Streptophyta; Magnoliopsida; Rosales; Rosaceae.
AGUGAUGAAUUGUAAAUUGUAAUCAAACAAUAAGAGAUGAAUCUUAUGAUAAAUGUAUGGCCAGAAAAUAGAGUGCUGGGAAAUAGGUGGCAUUGAUUUCAGCUUGCCUGAUCUCUUUUUGAAAAUCUUGGUAAAGUGUCUUCCAAAAAUACUUCCAAUUAGUCACAUAUCACCUUUUUAAAACUUUGCCUCUCUGCAUCAGCUACUUGAUCUUCCCAAUUUCCUUCCUCUCACGUACCAACAAAAUCGGCGAACUCGAGGAAUCAGAUUCAAAACCCGACGAGUCAUCCCGGAACCCGAAUCCGAAUCCUAAAACCGCGAGGACAAAGGUUCCAGAAGUGGAGAUCUACUUGUAUCGGCGAGGUAAAGGCCCGAUCGAGACGUUCAGGACGAGCCUCGAGGACUGGGACCAGAACCAGUUGGAGGUCCGAGACAUUCUCGACAAAUACUGCUUAAGAUCGCUUUACGCUUUCAAUACCUGGUCGGGUCGCGGCGUUCCGAUCCGGUUUAACCCCAGGAACGGCAGAUCUAUGCUGGCUUAUAAAGAUGGAUCUAAGGUUCACAUUGACGGAGAGCCCAAGGAUUCCUUGAUCCAAAACAAUGGAUAGAUAAAUGGGUGAUUAUCAACCGAUGCAUUAUAUAAAAUGCAUCCAGACAGUAAAUUAACUGGUUUAUAAAUAGUUACAUUAUUUUUCAAAAAAAAAAAAUUCUAUGCAUAUAGUGGUAUUGUGGAAUAUGUUUCUACUACUUGAUGCCUUAAAUGCCUUUAGCUUAUAGGACUUAAUAAACCAGCAUAAAGAGUGCUAGCUUUUUUCUUCUCUUGGUACUUUGAUUCAAGAAGUACAUGUUAGCUAAAUCUGCCUCAAUCUUGAAUGUUUGAAGUUUUAUGCUCUUCUACAUUACAGUCCUACUUGGAUCUCUAUUUUCGUUCUUCAUUGUAUAUGUAAGACAAUGGCAUUAAAAUCACUGUCAGCUUUUGGAUCCAUUACUUCUAGUUUGAAUUACAAUGGCAUUAAAGAUAAAUUGGGUUGUGUUUGUUGCAUACUGCCUUUUAGCCUCCAUCCAUAUCCCUACGUAAGCUUGUUUUAUAUCAUAUCAAUAAAGGUGAAAGGUUGCUUUACCAAAUAAUAUAAGGCGCGUUAGCGCUUUAGGACAUUCCUUUUAAGAAAGUAUCUAUAGCUCACAAUACAUCUUAAUUUUUUGUGACUUUAAUAUACACUAUAGCAUAUGUUGUAAUGUCAGUCUUAUAGCUACAGAAUGAUUUCCCUAGGUGAAAAUGUCAUCCUCUGCUUUCGUGGAAAUGUGAGUACAUACAUUUUGACUAGAUUGACACCUACUACUCAUUCAUAAAUCAUGUGGUACCUCAUAAAUCCAGUUCUCUAAAUAUUUUAAUAACGAAAGUUAUUAUAGUUUGUUUAUUUCAAGAUACAAGUAGCACUGCCCAAUUCUACUCUACAUAUUGACCAUGGUGAAAAAUUGUUGUCUCAGACGACGCUCACUUAUACAACAGUUUAAUGAACGUCUUAGAAUUCCAUUUUGUUACAUAAGGUAAUUUAAAACUUAGAUAUGCUAAAUAAGAGGAGACUGCAUAAUUAAAGGAGAUUGCACAAACUAUCAAGGAGAUGAAGUGAAGCAAACAAAGUAGGAAUCCCGACAAAGCAGUUGAUCGGCUGCAGAUACGAUCAAUUCUCA